AGGGGUUUUAGGGGAGUCUUCCCCUAACCAGGGCUCUGGCCCCUGGGACCCCGGUUCGAAUCCGGGCCCGGCUA
This 74-nucleotide transfer RNA is filed under the name Stygiolobus caldivivus. RNAcentral describes it as "Stygiolobus sp. KN-1 tRNA-Ser". Lineage: Archaea; Thermoproteati; Thermoproteota; Thermoprotei; Sulfolobales; Sulfolobaceae. The record is from RNAcentral.